This 778-nucleotide ribosomal RNA is filed under the name uncultured Neocallimastigales. Its description in RNAcentral is "partial large subunit ribosomal RNA". It matches the Rfam family "Eukaryotic large subunit ribosomal RNA", at positions 23 to 634 of the family's 3401-position model. Lineage: Eukaryota; Fungi; Neocallimastigomycota; Neocallimastigomycetes; Neocallimastigales. The record is from RNAcentral.
AGAGAGAGACAUGCGCGCAUAUCAAUAAGCGGAGGAAAAGAAACUAACAAGGAUUCCCUUAGUAACGGCGAGUGAAGCGGGAAGAGCUCAAAUUUGAAAUCUUCAAGGUUUUACCUUGACGAAUUGUAGUUUAAAGAAGUGUUUUUCUGCUGAAGUUUUGGUAAAAGUUCUUUGGAAUAGGACAUCAUAGAGGGUGAGAAUCCCGUAUUUGACCAUUAUUUUCAGCUUUGUGAUACACUUUCAAAGAGUCGGAUUGUUUGGGAAUGCAGUCCAAAAUGGGUGGUAAAUUUCAUCUAAAGCUAAAUAUUGGCGAGAGACCGAUAGCGAACAAGUACCGUGAGGGAAAGAUGAAAAGAACUUUGAAAAGAGAGUUAAACAGUACGUGAAAUUGUCCAAAAGGGAAGCGUUUGACACCAGUGUUGUUUUCUCGAAAAUCAAUUAAAAAUGGCUCGAUUUUGUAUUGCUGAGACCUUAAAAGCUCACUGUACAUUUUUCGUGUCUUUUUUAAUGCACUUUUCGUUUAACAAGUCAACAUCAGUUUCUUUUGUUGUAAAAGGGUCAUUGGAAGGUGGCUUUCUUUUCGGAGAAAGUGUUUAUAGCCUUUGGCCUCUGCAAUCGGAAGAGACUGAGGUCUGCAGCGUAGACUCUUCGGGGUUAGAUACAUUUGUGCUAAGUUAUAGCUUUUUAUCAGACAACUUGUUGACUAUAAUUAGUCUUGUAGCUUACUCGCUUAUGCUAUUUUACCUACGCUUAGGAUGUUGAAGAUGUAGCACAUCAU